Molecule: long non-coding RNA, 1825 nt
Filed under: Marmota monax (woodchuck)
Lineage: Eukaryota; Metazoa; Chordata; Mammalia; Rodentia; Sciuridae
Source: RNAcentral
CACAGCUGGCGUGGCGGGGUGGAGGGUGGCCCGGGACCCAGCGCCCGCGCCCGGCACAGCCGCCCCUUUGUGCUGCCCCUUUGUGCGGCCGGCCUCCUGGAAGCCGCCGGGAAGCCCAGGCGCAGCACGCGGCUGCACACGCGUGUCAUUUCGGCCAAGGAACCUCCAGAAACCGGGCGCGUGGCGGGGGACCUUUGCGGUCAAGAACUUGGCGGGCCAGGGCUGCCAGGCACACACUGUGACCUCCUAGUCAACCUGUGUUGCUGGGACAGGUGUGGUGGGGGGACAGGUGUGGUGGGAGCCCGGGGUGCUCCCCCAGGGUGAAACCUGGGCCCCCCUGGUGUGGGGCGCCAGGAGGGAAGAGGGAGUCAUCACCGAGGCCCAGGAAAAGGGACUCUACCCCCAGAGGAGCCAGGAAAGAUUCCACCUGUGACAUCUCCACCCGUUGGGUGGGCACAGCUGACUGGCUGGCUGCCCAUGGGCAUGGGAACCGAUGCAAGGCCACAGGUGAGGAGGAGAGAAGGGAAUUGCCCCGAGAUGCUCAUGGGUGGAGCAGCGCAGAGCUGAGGGAGGAGGAGGAGGUAAGGCCACAUCCUGCCCAGCCGAGAGGAUGACGGGAGGCCCCUCACCCAGAGAUAGGGGAUAUCAGGGGCAGGACAGGGGCGAAGCUGUCUCCACCUAAACCGUCUGGGUUUGUGGGUGGAGGUUGCUGUCUCCCUUUGUGCCCGCUCAGGGCCUGGCCACACAGUCUGCCCCUUCAAUUCCAUGCAGUGAGCAUUCACCCGGCCCCAACCCCCUCCUGGGAAUGAGCAGAUCCUGGCCUCCUGGAGUCUGUAGAGGAGGAAAAUGGUACCACCCACAGUAACACAGAUGCCCAGCAUGCCCAUGGUGUGAGACAAGGGUGGAACGGUGGCCAGGGGCCAGUGGGCCAGUGGGCACGGAUCCCAGGAGGAGGAAGAGAGGGCUGGUACAGGACAUCCAGGGCUUGGAGAUAGAAGGAUUGUUAGGGAAGGGACAUUUGGUCUGGGACCAGGAUGAAGUGACCUUUUCCCUGUACUCAGUAGAGGAAGAGAAGGCCACCAGGCCAAGGGGAGAGAGAACAGCCAGCCAGCCCCCUUAUCUUCGGGGAGCCUCCAAGACCCCCUCUGCAUGCCUGAAUGCACCUCUGUAUAUUAUCUUGUUUUCUGCAGCUUUGCCACAGAGGACCAGAAUUCAUCUGCCGUCCUGGGUGCCCCCUUUGCAGCACUACUAUUGUGCUUAGGAGCCACAAUUAAGUAAAAUAAGGGCCACCUGGACACCAGCACUGUGUUACCAUGAUGGUCAAUGCGACAUGACAGUCUGCUGAGAUGGUUGCCAACAGGCAGGUAGCAUAUAGAGCGUGGAUACACUGGACAAAGAGAUGAUUCGCAGCUCUGCCAGGAAGGAGCAGGACAGUGCCAGAUCUCAUCCCAGACACAAUUUAAACUUACAAAUUGUCUAUUUCUGGAAUUUUCCAUUUAGUGUUUUUGGACCACAGUUGACUUAAGAUAACCGAAACUGGGGAUCAUGAAACCAUGAACAUGCCGGGGGUGGGGGGCUUACUGUCCAGUAUUAGUAUCCUCUGGCUGCCAUAACAACGUGUCACAAACUGAGUGGUUUAGAACAGAACUUUUUUUACCCCUGGUUUGGAGCCUAGAAGUACACAUCAUGGUGUCGGCAGCGUUGAGUCCUUUUUGGAGGCUCUGAGAAAGAAUCUGUCCCAUGCCUCUCUCUGAACUUGUGGUGGUUUUCUCUGGUCUUUGGUGAUUGAACCCAGGGGUGCUUAACCACUGAGCCACAUCCCCAG